Molecule: ribosomal RNA, 775 nt
Filed under: uncultured Neocallimastigales
Lineage: Eukaryota; Fungi; Neocallimastigomycota; Neocallimastigomycetes; Neocallimastigales
Description: partial large subunit ribosomal RNA
Rfam family: Eukaryotic large subunit ribosomal RNA
Source: RNAcentral
UAUGUGAUCGUCUCUCGCAUAUCAAUAAGCGGAGGAAAAGAAACUAACAAGGAUUCCCCUAGUAACGGCGAGUGAAGCGGGAAGAGCUCAAAUUUGAAAUCUUAAAGGGUUUCCCUUUACGAAUUGUAGUUUAAAGAAGUGUUUUCUGUUGAGGUUUUGGUAAAAGUUCUUUGGAAUAGGACAUCAUAGAGGGUGAGAAUCCCGUAUUUGACCUUUACUUUCAACUUUGUGAUACACUUUCAAAGAGUCGGAUUGUUUGGGAAUGCAGUCCAAAAUGGGUGGUAAAUUUCAUCUAAAGCUAAAUAUUGGCGAGAGACCGAUAGCGAACAAGUACCGUGAGGGAAAGAUGAAAAGAACUUUGAAAAGAGAGUUAAACAGUACGUGAAAUUGUCAAAAGGGAAGCGUUUGACACCAGUGUUGUUUUUCUGAAAAUCAAUUAAAGAACUGUUUAUGCUAAGCUGUUUAGACUCUAUCAGCUAAUCUGUUUAGUUUUGAGCUUUUCUUUAAUGCACUUUUCAGUUAACAAGUCAACAUCAAUUUCUUUUGCUGUAAAAAAGCUUGAGGAAGGUGGCUUGAGAUUCGUCUUAAGUGUUUAUAGCCUCUUGCCUAUGCAGUCGGAGAGAUUGAGGUCUGCAGCGUAGAUCCUUCGGGGCUAAGUGCAUUUGUGCUAAGUUAUAGCAUUUUAUAGACAACUUGUUGACUAUGAUUUGUCUUGUAGCUUACUCGCUUAUGUUAUUUUACCUACGCUUAGGAUGUUGAUCUGUAGUGCGUGCGC